GACGAACGCUGGCGGCGUGCUUAACACAUGCAAGUCGAACGGAAAGGCCCUGCUUUUGUGGGGUGCUCGAGUGGCGAACGGGUGAGUAACACGUGAGUAACCUGCCCUUGACUUUGGGAUAACUUCAGGAAACUGGGGCUACUACCGGAUAGGAGCUCCUGCUGCAUGGUGGGGGUUGGAAAGUUUCGGCGGUUGGGGAUGGACUCGCGGCUUAUCAGCUUGUUGGUGGGGUAGUGGCGUACCAAGGCUUUGACGGGUAGCCGGCCUGGGAGGGUGACCGGCCACAUUGGGACUGAGAUACGGCCCAGACUCCUACGGGAGGCAGCAGUGGGGAAUAUUGCACAAUGGGCGGAAGCCUGAUGCAGCAACGCCGCGUGCGGGAUGACGGGCUUCGGGUUGUAAACCGCUUUCGCCUGUGACGAAGCGUGAGUGACGGUAAUGGGUAAGAAAGCACCGGCUAACUACGUG
Molecule: ribosomal RNA, 468 nt
Filed under: uncultured bacterium
Lineage: Bacteria
Description: partial 16S ribosomal RNA
Rfam family: Bacterial small subunit ribosomal RNA
Source: RNAcentral